CCCUUAGAUGUUCUGGGCCGCACGCGCGCUACACUGAUGCAUUCAACGAGUUUCUUCCUGGUCCGAGAGGAAUGGGUAACCUUUUGAAAGUGCAUCGUGAUAGGGAUAGACUAUUGCAAUUAUUGGUCUUCAACGAGGAAUUCCUAGUAGACGUAGUUCAUCAGACUGCAUCGAUUACGUCCCUGCCCUUUGUACACACCGCCCGUCGCUCCUACCGAUUGAAUGCUCAGGUGAGCCAUUCGGACUUUCAUCAUGCUGGUUUCCAGUGUUGAUGAAGGAAAGUCUUGCGAACCUUAUCAUUUAGAGGAAGGAGAAGUCGUAACA
This 324-nucleotide ribosomal RNA is filed under the name uncultured eukaryote. RNAcentral describes it as "partial 18S ribosomal RNA". It matches the Rfam family "Eukaryotic small subunit ribosomal RNA", at positions 1470 to 1796 of the family's 1831-position model. The record is from RNAcentral.